This 734-nucleotide ribosomal RNA is filed under the name Staphylococcus aureus. RNAcentral describes it as "partial 23S ribosomal RNA". It matches the Rfam family "Bacterial large subunit ribosomal RNA", at positions 1 to 732 of the family's 2925-position model. Lineage: Bacteria; Bacillati; Bacillota; Bacilli; Caryophanales; Staphylococcaceae. The record is from RNAcentral.
GAUUAAGUUAUUAAGGGCGCACGGUGGAUGCCUUGGCACUAGAAGCCGAUGAAGGACGUUACUAACGACGAUAUGCUUUGGGGAGCUGUAAGUAAGCUUUGAUCCAGAGAUUUCCGAAUGGGGAAACCCAGCAUGAGUUAUGUCAUGUUAUCGAUAUGUGAAUACAUAGCAUAUUAGAAGGCACACCCGGAGAACUGAAACAUCUUAGUACCCGGAGGAAGAGAAAGAAAAUUCGAUUCCCUUAGUAGCGGCGAGCGAAACGGGAAGAGCCCAAACCAACAAGCUUGCUUGUUGGGGUUGUAGGACACUCUAUACGGAGUUACAAAGGACGACAUUAGACGAAUCAUCUGGAAAGAUGAAUCAAAGAAGGUAAUAAUCCUGUAGUCGAAAAUGUUGUCUCUCUUGAGUGGAUCCUGAGUACGACGGAGCACGUGAAAUUCCGUCGGAAUCUGGGAGGACCAUCUCCUAAGGCUAAAUACUCUCUAGUGACCGAUAGUGAACCAGUACCGUGAGGGAAAGGUGAAAAGCACCCCGGAAGGGGAGUGAAAUAGAACCUGAAACCGUGUGCUUACAAGUAGUCAGAGCCCGUUAAUGGGUGAUGGCGUGCCUUUUGUAGAAUGAACCGGCGAGUUACGAUUUGAUGCAAGGUUAAGCAGUAAAUGUGGAGCCGUAGCGAAAGCGAGUCUGAAUAGGGCGUUUAGUAUUUGGUCGUAGACCCGAAACCAGGUGAUCUA